This is a long non-coding RNA of Cololabis saira (Pacific saury), 850 nucleotides long. RefSeq lists it as uncharacterized. The transcript is spliced from 5 exons. Lineage: Eukaryota; Metazoa; Chordata; Actinopteri; Beloniformes; Belonidae. The record is from RefSeq and is a predicted model, not a curated record.
UUUCAGGUUGAGUCAGACCACACUUGAGUCAGACCCGCCCAGAAAGUUAGAAACUGCGUCAGAAAAGGGGAAACAGAAAGUGUUUUCUGGACUUUAAACAUCGAUUAUCGUCUCGCCUGAAGUUACAGACGCUUCACCUGCAGCUGUAUCUGUAGGUGGUACCGGCCCCGCGGACCCCCCCGGGACAUCCUGGACGCCCUGGAACCUUCUGGACACGCGAUGACAGGCGGCUGGUUCCGAGGACUUCGGUCCAGAUUCAGAAGAUUCAAAAUGGGGGAUCAGAACUCUCAAGGAACUCCAACUGAGCAGCAUGCACCCUUGCCCAUAGCAGUUCCUGUAAUCUUCAUCGAAGAACCAGGACCUCCAGGAACUGACCUUCCAGACAGUGACUCUGACUGGGACGUCCGUUCUACAGACAGUGACUAUAACUAUCCUACAGACUGCAGCAAAGAAAAACAGCUUAUGGAAAGAAGAGUCAUGAUGGUGGAGUGUAGAUAUCGUCCACAGCCCUCUGUAGCGGGUAACCGGUCCAAAGAUUAUCCUCCAAACUUCCAAAACCAAAACCACCAGUAAGAAGGUAAGCAGCAGCCUGGUUCCAGCAGAAGGGGAUGUCUGGAGUCACCUUGAAGUUAACAUAUAAACUGACUUCUCAUGUUCUUCUAAUCAGAAGCUAAUAAUUCCCCCUUCCCAUGGGCAGCCUUAACCCCCCCCCCCUUACGCUGCUCGUGCUCGUGUAACCAGGGCAUUCCCAAUGAAUAAAAAGAGGAGACGAGGCAGAGACGGACAGAGAUGGUUGGAGUGUUGGGACUGCACGUUCUCUGACUUCUCUCCUCACGGGUUUUUAACCUGA